AUCUACAGCCAUGCUACCCCGAACACGCUUGAUCCCAUCUGACCUCGGAAGCGAAGCAGGGUCGGGCCUGGUUAGGACUUGGAUGGGAGACCACCUAGGAAGACCAGUUGCUGUAGGCG
Molecule: ribosomal RNA, 119 nt
Organism: Pteropus vampyrus (large flying fox)
Lineage: Eukaryota; Metazoa; Chordata; Mammalia; Chiroptera; Pteropodidae
Source: Ensembl